This 212-nucleotide unclassified non-coding RNA is filed under the name Vishniacozyma carnescens. RNAcentral describes it as "partial internal transcribed spacer region". The stretch from base 1 to 46 matches the Rfam family "Eukaryotic small subunit ribosomal RNA", at positions 1786 to 1831 of the family's 1831-position model. The record is from RNAcentral. Lineage: Eukaryota; Fungi; Basidiomycota; Tremellomycetes; Tremellales; Bulleribasidiaceae.
AAGUCAUAACAAGGUUUCCGUAGGUGAACCUGCGGAAGGAUCAUUAAUAAUGCCCUCUGACUUCGGUCUGCUGGGUUCAAAUGAGUGCCUUCUCUUCGGAGUUGGCCAUCCUCACACACCGUGAACUGUGGCUUCGGCCAUCACAAACUGUUAGUAAUGAAUGUAAUAUCAUAACAAAAACAAAACUUUUAACAACGGAUCUCUUGGCUCUC